RNAcentral lists this ribosomal RNA (253 nucleotides) under uncultured bacterium. RNAcentral describes it as "partial 16S ribosomal RNA". It matches the Rfam family "Bacterial small subunit ribosomal RNA", at positions 524 to 776 of the family's 1533-position model. The record is from RNAcentral.
UACGUAGGCAGCGAGCGUUGUUCGGAGUUACUGGGCGUAAAGAGUGCGUAGGCGGUUUUCUAAGUUUGGUGUGAAAUCUCCCGGCUUAACUGGGAGGGUGCGCCGAAGACUGGAAGGCUUGAGUAUAGGAGAGGUAAGCGGAAUUCCUGGUGUAGCGGUGAAAUGCGUAGAUAUCAGGAGGAACACCUGCGGUGUAGACGGCUUACUGGACCAUAACUGACGCUGAGGCACGAAAGCGUGGGUAGCAAACAGG